Molecule: unclassified non-coding RNA, 355 nt
Filed under: uncultured fungus
Lineage: Eukaryota; Fungi
Description: partial contains 5.8S ribosomal RNA and internal transcribed spacer 2
Rfam family: 5.8S ribosomal RNA (bases 1-132)
Source: RNAcentral
UGGCUCUGGCAACGAUGAAGAACGCAGCGAAACGCGAAAGGUAAUGCGAAUUGCAGAAUCAGUGAGUCAUCGAAUCUUUGAACGCACAUUGCGCCUCUCGGUAUUCCGGGAGGCACGCCUGUUCGAGCGCCAUUACACACUCCAAGCUUAGCUUGAUGUUGGUCGACGUGUUCCUGUGACAAGGGACAGGCGACUGGAAAGGGUUGGCGCCGCCGCCGGACCACGAGCGUAGCAAGACGAGAGUCGCAAAUCGCAUCGGAUGGGUUCUGGAGGGUGGCAGCCUGUGUUUUUGACUACAUCACAAACACAACACACACACGAGUUUGGCCUCGGAUCAGGCGGGGAUACCCGCUGA